RNAcentral lists this ribosomal RNA (208 nucleotides) under uncultured Syntrophorhabdus sp. Its description in RNAcentral is "partial 16S ribosomal RNA". It matches the Rfam family "Bacterial small subunit ribosomal RNA", at positions 568 to 775 of the family's 1533-position model. The record is from RNAcentral. Lineage: Bacteria; Pseudomonadati; Thermodesulfobacteriota; Syntrophorhabdia; Syntrophorhabdales; Syntrophorhabdaceae.
CGCGUAGGUGGUUGUGAUAGUCAGAUGUGAAAUCCUUUGGCUUAACUGAAGAACUGCAUCUGAAACUUCACAACUCGAGUACAGGAGAGGGAAACGGAAUUCCCGGUGUAGAGGUGAAAUUCGUAGAUAUCGGGAGGAACACCAGUGGCGAAGGCGGUUUCCUGGCCUGAUACUGACACUGAGGCGCGAAAGCGUGGGGAGCAAACAG